UGGGGAAUAUUGGACAAUGGGGGGAACCCUGAUCCAGCCAUGCCGCGUGUGUGAAGAAGGCCUUAUGGUUGUAAAGCACUUUAAGCGAGGAGGAGGGUACUGGUAUUAAUACUACCAGCUACUGGACGUUACUCGCAGAAUAAGCACCGGCUAACUCUGUGCCAGCAGCCGCGGUAAUACAGAGGGUGCGAGCGUUAAUCGGAUUUACUGGGCGUAAAGCGUGCGUAGGCGGCUAAUUGAGUCGGAUGUGAAAUCCCCGAGCUUAACUUGGGAAUUGCCUUCGAUACUGGUUAGCUAGAGUGUGGGAGAGGAUGGUAGAAUUCCAGGUGUGGCGGUGAAAUGCGUAGCGAUCUGGAGGAAUACCGAUGGCGAAGGCAGCCAUCUGGCCUAACACUGACGCUGAGGUACGAAAGCAUGGGGAGCAAACAGG
This 430-nucleotide ribosomal RNA is filed under the name Pseudomonadota bacterium. Its description in RNAcentral is "Proteobacteria bacterium partial 16S ribosomal RNA". It matches the Rfam family "Bacterial small subunit ribosomal RNA", at positions 355 to 776 of the family's 1533-position model. Lineage: Bacteria; Pseudomonadati; Pseudomonadota. The record is from RNAcentral.